This 502-nucleotide ribosomal RNA is filed under the name uncultured bacterium. RNAcentral describes it as "partial 16S ribosomal RNA". It matches the Rfam family "Bacterial small subunit ribosomal RNA", at positions 30 to 523 of the family's 1533-position model. The record is from RNAcentral.
AUUGAACGCUGGCGGCAGGCUUAACACAUGCAAGUCGAGCGGGGGGAGGUAGCUUGCUACCGGACCUAGCGGCGGACGGGUGAGUAAUGCUUAGGAAUCUGCCUAUUAGUGGGGGACAACAUCUCGAAAGGGAUGCUAAUACCGCAUACGUCCUACGGGAGAAAGCAGGGGAUCUUUAUGACCUUGCGCUAAUAGAUGAGCCUAAGUCGGAUUAGCUAGUUGGUGGGGUAAAGGCCUACCAAGGCGACGAUCUGUAGCGGGUCUGAGAGGAUGAUCCGCCACACUGGGACUGAGACACGGCCCAGACUCCUACGGGAGGCAGCAGUGGGGAAUAUUGGACAAUGGGGGGAACCCUGAUCCAGCCAUGCCGCGUGUGUGAAGAAGGCCUUAUGGUUGUAAAGCACUUUAAGCGAGGAGGAGGCUCUUUUGGUUAAUACCCAGAAUGAGUGGACGUUACUCGCAGAAUAAGCACCGGCUAACUCUGUGCCAGCAGCCGCAGUAA